Molecule: ribosomal RNA, 720 nt
Filed under: Triticum aestivum (bread wheat)
Lineage: Eukaryota; Viridiplantae; Streptophyta; Magnoliopsida; Poales; Poaceae
Description: partial small subunit ribosomal RNA
Source: RNAcentral
AUGCCUCCUACUUAUGAUGAUUAUAUUGAUGAAAGUGGGUUUGGAAGAUUGUCAACUUUAGGAAGUAAUGAUCCCACUAUUUUGGAGGAUGUUGAAUCUUAUUGUGAUAAUUAUGAAAGUGGAUUUGGAGAGGUCAUGACUUUAUUUAGUAAUGAUUCCACUAUCUUGGAAGAGGUUUCAAUUGAUUAUGAUGAGAACAAAGUUGCUACUUAUGAUGAUUAUUGUGAUGAUACUUAUGCUAUAAAAAGUGGUGAUGAUUAUAUUUAUAAAACUUGUCAUGAUUAUCAUUACCCUUUCUCUAAACAUUAUCCUUUUAAUGUGGAAACAAUUUAUAGUAUUCGGGUUUCUUAUGAUACUCCCACAAUUCUGAAUGAGAAGAAUUUUGCUUAUGUGGAGAGUAAUAAAAUUUCUAUGCUUGUAGAUCAUGAAAAGAAUGCUUUAGGUGCUGGUUAUAUUGUUGAAUUAAUUCAUGAUGCUACUGAAAAUUAUUAUGAGGGCGGAAUAUAUGCUUGUAGGAAUUGCAAUAAUAUCAAGUUUCCUCUCUAUGUGCUUAAAGUUUUGAAGUUAUGCUUGUUUUGCCUUCCUAUGCUAGUUGAUUAUUGUUCCCAUAAAUUGUUUGAUCACAAAAUCACUAUGCAUAGUAAGUGGGUUAGACUUAAAUGUGCUAGUCAUAUUCUUCAUGAUGCUCUCUUUAUGUUUCAAUUCUUAUCUUUUAUGUGA